RNAcentral lists this ribosomal RNA (468 nucleotides) under uncultured bacterium. RNAcentral's name for it is "partial 16S ribosomal RNA". It matches the Rfam family "Bacterial small subunit ribosomal RNA", at positions 28 to 507 of the family's 1533-position model. The record is from RNAcentral.
GACGAACGCUGGCGGCGUGCUUAACACAUGCAAGUCGAACGGAAAGGCCCUGGUUUUGUGGGGUGCUCGAGUGGCGAACGGGUGAGUAACACGUGGGUAACCUGCCCUUGACUUUGGGAUAACUUCAGGAAACUGGGGCUAAUACCGGAUAGGAGCACCUGCUGCAUGGUGGGGGUGGGAGAGUUUCGGCGGGUGGGGAUGGAGUGGCGGCUUAUCGGGUUGUUGGUGGGGUAGUGGCUUACGAAGGCUUUGACGGGUCGCCGGCCUGGGGGGGUGACCGGCCACAUGGGGAUUGAGAUACGGCCCGGCUCCCUCCGGGAGCCAGCGUUGGGGAAUAUUGCACAAUGGCCGGAAGCCUGAGGCAGCAACGCCGCGUGCGGAAGGACGGCUUUCGGUUGUUAACCCGCUUUCCCAGGGGCCGAAGCUUAUGUGACGGUAAUUGGAGAAGAAGCACCGGCUAACUACGUG